Long non-coding RNA from Enhydra lutris kenyoni (northern sea otter), 468 nucleotides. RefSeq lists it as uncharacterized. Lineage: Eukaryota; Metazoa; Chordata; Mammalia; Carnivora; Mustelidae. The transcript has 3 exons. The record is from RefSeq and is a predicted model, not a curated record.
AGCAGCUGGUGAAGGAGAGAGACUCUAGGCUCGUGAGGCAGGGGCAGGGAAACGCGCGGUUUAAGAGCUGCUGGAUCCCCAAGCUUCAUUCUGAUGGCGCUUCUCCACGCUGGUAGGGGCGGUUCUUCCUGAGAGCAGCAGCCAAGCCCAGUCUGCGGCGUCCCCAGCCCGGGCAGAACCAGGUGAACCAUUAACAACAGAUGGAGAAGGAAAGGAUUAAUUCUGGCAGCAGGAACUGCCUGAUAGAAGCCAGAGGUUCUAGAAGGAUGAAGAGUCCAGAUGGUAGAGUGCUAUUCUCCACAUGGUUGUCUCCAUUUUAAUUGUGCUUCUCACUGUGCAUUUAACAGUAAGUACACCUAUUUACCCCCUCAAAAAAUCAUUUCCUAAUUUAAGCUAAUGAACUUUGAUUUUGAAUUUAAAGAAAUGCUGGCGAUUAUGGUGCUUAAAUAAAGAACUCCUUGCUUUGCU